RNAcentral lists this ribosomal RNA (957 nucleotides) under Aneurinibacillus migulanus. Its description in RNAcentral is "bacterial SSU rRNA". It matches the Rfam family "Bacterial small subunit ribosomal RNA", at positions 39 to 994 of the family's 1533-position model. Lineage: Bacteria; Bacillati; Bacillota; Bacilli; Caryophanales; Paenibacillaceae. The record is from RNAcentral.
CCGUCCGGCAUCUAUCAUGCAGUCGAGCGGACCAAUGAAGAGCUUGCUCUUCGGCGGUUAGCGGCGGACGGGUGAGUAACACGUAGGCAACCUGCCUGUACGACUGGGAUAACUCCGGGAAACCGGAGCUAAUACCGGAUACUUCUUUCAGACCGCAUGGUCUGAAAGGGAAAGACCUUUGGUCACGUACAGAUGGGCCUGCGGCGCAUUAGCUAGUUGGUGGGGUAACGGCCUACCAAGGCGACGAUGCGUAGCCGACCUGAGAGGGUGAUCGGCCACACUGGGACUGAGACACGGCCCAGACUCCUACGGGAGGCAGCAGUAGGGAAUCUUCCGCAAUGGACGAAAGUCUGACGGAGCAACGCCGCGUGAACGAUGAAGGUUUUCGGAUCGUAAAGUUCUGUUGUUAGGGAAGAACCGCCGGGAUGACCUCCCGGUCUGACGGUACCUAACGAGAAAGCCCCGGCUAACUACGUGCCAGCAGCCGCGGUAAUACGUAGGGGGCAAGCGUUGUCCGGAAUUAUUGGGCGUAAAGCGCGCGCAGGCGGCUUCUUAAGUCAGGUGUGAAAGCCCACGGCUCAACCGUGGAGGGCCACUUGAAACUGGGAAGCUUGAGUGCAGGAGAGGAGAGCGGAAUUCCACGUGUAGCGGUGAAAUGCGUAGAGAUGUGGAGGAACACCCGUGGCGAAAGGGGCUCUCUGGGCCUGUAACUGACGCUGAGGCGCGAAAGCGUGGGGGAAGCGAACAGGAUUAGAUACCCUGGUAGUCCACGCCGUAACGUUGAGUGCUAGGUGUUGGGGGACUCCCAUCCUCAUGCCGCAGCUAACGCAUAAGCACUCCCGCUGGGAGUACGGCCGCAAGGCUUGAACUCAAGGAUUGACCGGUACCGCCUACUAGUCGGUGAGACAUGUGGUUAAUUCGAGAACCCUGGAAACCUACCAGGCUGACAGUCUCCUG